Molecule: ribosomal RNA, 505 nt
Filed under: uncultured bacterium
Lineage: Bacteria
Description: partial 16S ribosomal RNA
Rfam family: Bacterial small subunit ribosomal RNA
Source: RNAcentral
GACGAACGCUGGCGGCGUGCCUAAUACAUGCAAGUAGAACGCACAGUUUAUACCGUAGCUUGCUACACCAUAGACUGUGAGUUGCGAACGGGUGAGUAACGCGUAGGUAACCUGCCUGGUAGCGGGGGAUAACUAUUGGAAACGAUAGCUAAUACCGCAUAAUAUUGAUUAUUGCAUGAUAAUUGAUUGAAAGAUGCUAUUGCAUCACUACCAGAUGGACCUGCGUUGUAUUAGCUAGUAGGUGAGGUAACGGCUCACCUAGGCGACGUUACAUAGCCGACCUGAGAGGGUGAUCGGCCACACUGGGACUGAGACACGGCCCAGACUCCUACGGGGGGCAGCAGUAGGGAAUCUUCGGCAAUGGACGAAAGUCUGACCGAGCAACGCCGCGUGAGUGAAGAAGGUUUUCGGAUCGUAAAGCUCUGUUGUAAGAGAAGAACGGGUGUGAGAGUGGAAAGUUCACACUGUGACGGUAUCUUACCAGAAAGGGACGGCUAACUACGUG